Non-coding RNA from Athelia sp. TMB, 129 nucleotides. The record is from the annotation of a GenBank genome assembly. NCBI's taxonomy places the organism in Eukaryota, Fungi, Basidiomycota, Agaricomycetes, Atheliales, Atheliaceae.
GGCCUUUUCGCUUAGCGGGACAAAGCAUCACGGCGAUUUUGGUCCGAAUAUGAGGUAGCAGGUUAAGCUCGCGCCGUCGUAUUUGGACUGCUUUGCGUGAAGACCUGGGUUCAAGUCUCAGAGAGGCUA